CUUCACCACCACACGCACCCGCCCCGCGGGGUGGGGGCCGUCCGCGCUGACGCUUUUAACGGGGGCGUAAGUGACGCGCUUCGUCCCUUUGCUGUCAGCCGGGGGGGGCGCAUCCCGCGGGGGGGUGGCGGCGGCCGCGGUUGCGGCGGUGCCGCGGGACACCUCUCCCUGCUCGGGGGGUCCCCAGGACGGGGUGACCGCUCCCGCACCGGCGCUCAGCGACUUCUGCA
RNAcentral lists this long non-coding RNA (230 nucleotides) under Gallus gallus (chicken). Lineage: Eukaryota; Metazoa; Chordata; Aves; Galliformes; Phasianidae. The record is from RNAcentral.